AACGGCUACCACAUCCAAGGAAGGCAGCAGGCGCGCAAAUUACCCACUCCCGGCACGGGGAGGUAGUGACGAAAAAUAACGAUACGGGACUCAUCCGAGGCCCCGUAAUCGGAAUGAGAACAAUUUAAAUCCUUUAACGAGGAUCAAUUGGAGGGCAAGUCUGGUGCCAGCAGCCGCGGUAAUUCCAGCUCCAAUAGCGUAUAUUAAAGUUGUUGCGGUUAAAAAGCUCGUAGUCGAAUCUGUGUCCCGCGCCGCCGGUUCGUCGCUCGCGGCGUUUAACUGGCGUGUCCGCGGGACGUCCUGCCGGUGGGCUUAGCCUUUUCAUUAAGGCGGCCCAAUCUUAAUCCCGCCGCGGUGCUCUUCACCGAGUGUCGAGGCGGGCCGGCACGUUUACUUUGAACAAAUUAGAGUGCUUAAAGCAGGCUAAAACUUCGCCUGAAUACUUCGUGCAUGGAAUAAUGGAAUAGGACCUCGGUUCUAUUUUGUUGGUUUUCGGAACCCCGAGGUAAUGAUUAAUAGGAACGGAUGGGGGCAUUCGUAUUGCGACGUUAGAGGUGAAAUUCUUGGAUCGUCGCAAGACGGACAGAAGCGAAAGCAUUUGCCAAAAACGUUUUCAUUGAUCAAGAACGAAAGUUAGAGGUUCGAAGGCGAUCAGAUACCGCCCUAGUUCUAACCAUAAACGAUGCCAGCUAGCGAUCCGCCGACGUUCCUCCGAUGACUCGGCGGGCAGCUUCCGGGAAACCAAAGCUUUUGGGUUCCGGGGGAAGUAUGGUUGCAAAGCUGAAACUUAAAGGAAUUGACGGAAGGGCACCACCAGGAGUGGAGCCUGCGGCUUAAUUUGACUCAACACGGGAAACCUCACCAGGCCCGGACACCGGAAGGAUUGACAGAUUGAGAGCUCUUUCUUGAUUCGGUGGGUGGUGGUGCAUGGCCGUUCUUAGUUGGUGGAGCGAUUUGUCUGGUUAAUUCCGAUAACGAACGAGACUCA
This 988-nucleotide ribosomal RNA is filed under the name Microtrichalus sp. A00315. Its description in RNAcentral is "SSU rRNA". It matches the Rfam family "Eukaryotic small subunit ribosomal RNA", at positions 402 to 1344 of the family's 1831-position model. The record is from RNAcentral. Lineage: Eukaryota; Metazoa; Arthropoda; Insecta; Coleoptera; Lycidae.